UGAAAAGAUGAAAGACCAAGAGUGCGA
This 27-nucleotide non-coding RNA is filed under the name Mus musculus (house mouse). The record is from RNAcentral. Lineage: Eukaryota; Metazoa; Chordata; Mammalia; Rodentia; Muridae.